UGGCGGACGGGUGAGUAAUGUCUGGGAAACUGCCCGAUGGAGGGGGAUAACUACUGGAAACGGUAGCUAAUACCGCAUAACGUCGCAAGACCAAAGAGGGGGACCUUCGGGCCUCUUGCCAUCGGACGUGCCCAGAUGGGAUUAGCUAGUAGGUGGGGUAACGGCUCACCUAGGCGACGAUCCCUAGCUGGUCUGAGAGGAUGACCAGCCACACUGGGACUGAGACACGGUCCAG
This 235-nucleotide ribosomal RNA is filed under the name uncultured bacterium. RNAcentral's name for it is "partial 16S ribosomal RNA". It matches the Rfam family "Bacterial small subunit ribosomal RNA", at positions 96 to 334 of the family's 1533-position model. The record is from RNAcentral.